This is a non-coding RNA of Oncorhynchus mykiss (rainbow trout), 1691 nucleotides long. The record is from RefSeq and is a predicted model, not a curated record. Lineage: Eukaryota; Metazoa; Chordata; Actinopteri; Salmoniformes; Salmonidae.
GAAAAAAGGGCAAAGAUGGCGAUAUUCAGUGUGUAUGUUGUAAAUAAGACUGGGUGGAUUAAUUUACCAGUAUGACAAUUAUGUACACAGAGCAGAAGCAGAGAAAACAUUCAGAUAUCCUUUAGAUUUUGUGUUAAAGAUCCACGAUGAGAAAGUUGUUGUAUCAUUUGGUCAACGCGAUGGAAUCCGAGUGGGCAAUGCAUCAAUGAAUUGGACGUCAACGGUAAAUUCACGGCGGAUGGGAAGGAGAUCAUCGAAUACUUGAAAGACUCAACAAACUAUCCGUUGUCCAUACUUUUCGGAAGGGCUCGCUUGAGCUCCAAUGAAAAACUGAUGCUGGCUUCAAUGUUUCAUUCGUUGUUUGCUAUUGGUUCACAGCUGUCCCCUGAAGUUGGCAGUGCAGGAAUUGAGAUGCUGGAGACAGAUAUGUUCUGCACUGCUUUCAGACACUCACUGGUAUAAAGUUCAUUGUGCUGACAGACCCCUGGCAGUCUGGCAUUGAUGCACUCCUGAGGAAGAUUUACGAGAUCUAUUCAGACUUCGCCCUCAAGAACCCCUUCUACUCUUUGGAGAUGCCUAUCAGCUGGCCUACCUAAGGGAAAAUUGCUGUUCUGCCUCCAGGACAAGACAUGAAAAUAGACGUCAACCUUCGCAAAACAGAGGUACAACGCCGGUGUUAAUGUAUCAGACUUCCAAACCAAUGAGUGUUGACUGGCCCUUGUCCUGGAUGAGGAAGAGCUGGCCUCAGUCAGUGUAGGCCGUCUUCACCCCGAAUACCACCAGGUAGCCCACAGACAGCAGCCACAGGUAGCGGGACAGGAUGAACUCUUUGAAGGUGGUCUCAUCACUGGGUGAGCCUGGUAAGGGAGAGAGGUUUAAGUCACACUAGCACAUAGCUUAGAGAGUGGCUCCCAAGUGGCGCAGCAGUCUAAGGCACUGCAUCUCAGUGCUACAGGUGUCACUACAGACCCUGGUUUGAUUCCAGGCUGUAUCACAACCGACCGUGAUUGGGAGUCCCAUAGGGCAGCGCACAAUUGGCCCAGCGUCGUCCAGGUUAGGGUUUGGCCGGGGUAGGCCGUAAUUUUAAAUAAGAAUGUGUUCUUAACUGACUUGCCUAGUUAAGUAAAGGUUAAAUAAAAUCUUGAACUCGUUCACACUAGCAUGUGAGGGGCACACUGUGUGCAGAGUACAUUCUCAGAGUGUCACUGAUUUUACACACAAUUUCACAUGCAGACAAUACUCAGAAAAGCAUGUGUUCAAAUGAGAACCUGUGCAUAUCACAUUCACACACAUUUUGAAAUGUUUCAACCACAGAACCAAAUGAGGUUAGCUCCAAGCUCUGACCUGCUUUGACCUUCUAGCCCCCCCCCCCCCCCCCCCCCCCCCCAGUGUCGAUGUUGGGCAAGCCCACGUUCUUGAGCUUGUUCCUGAUCAACAGCAGGCAGACGAAGGAGACCACACAACAAGAGAGACCUGAGAUGGACAGGGUCGUCCUCCAGCUGUAACUCUGGGCCAUCAAUGUUGCAAUAAUGGGGCCUAUACUCCCAGCCAGGUUCAUACUGCAGGACAGAAUUGCCUGACAGAGCUUGAGGAUCUGCAGAGAAGAAUGGGAGAAUCUCCCCAAAUAGAGGUGUGCAAGCUUGUAGCGUCAUACCCAAGAAGACUCAAGGCUGUAAUCACUGCCAAAGGUG